GACAGAGGUGCCGAGCGUUAGGCGGAAUCACUGGGCUUAAAGCGUGUGUAGGCGGACUGAUAAGUACCUUGUGAAAUCCCACGGCUUAACCGUGGAACUGCUUGGUAUACUGUCGGUCUUGAGCCAGCUAGAGGUUACCGGAACAAAUGGUGGAGCGGUGAAAUGCGUAGAUAUCCACAGGAACUCCGGUGGCGAAAGCGGCGUGCUGGACCUCUUCUGACGCUGAGGCGCGAAAGCUAGGGGAGCAAACGGG
RNAcentral lists this ribosomal RNA (253 nucleotides) under uncultured bacterium. RNAcentral's name for it is "partial 16S ribosomal RNA". It matches the Rfam family "Bacterial small subunit ribosomal RNA", at positions 524 to 776 of the family's 1533-position model. The record is from RNAcentral.